CUACGGUGAAUACGUUCCCGGACCUUGUACACACCGCCCGUCAAGCCAUGGAAGCUGGGUGUACCUAAAGUCGAUAACCGUAAGGAGUCGCCUAGGGUAAACUAGUAACUGGGCU
RNAcentral lists this ribosomal RNA (115 nucleotides) under uncultured bacterium. RNAcentral's name for it is "partial 16S ribosomal RNA". It matches the Rfam family "Bacterial small subunit ribosomal RNA", at positions 1357 to 1482 of the family's 1533-position model. The record is from RNAcentral.